CAAUUAUUAUGCUGCACCUGGAGGAGAGCUAGGAUGCAAUGAGGCUUAAUUGAGGAUGAAGCUCACCAGGGCAGAAACAAGCAGGGCUUCUAUAAAGCCAGGGAGCUGGUAACAGAGACCCCCCAGUCACACUCUCUGAUACAAGGGGGAGAGGGGCAGGAGUAGGAUAAUCAAUGAGAAGAGCUGAAGCAAACUGUUCAGACAAGCCAUAGACUGAAAACUGGUCCUAAAAAUUAUCUGACCAAUACUUAAAAUAAAAAAAAUAUAUUCUUGGAAAUCGGGAUUGGUUUGCAAAUAAUUUUCAAAUGCGGGGGGGGGGACCUUAAAUUUGCAAAACAUAUAAUUUGCCAUGAAUAAUUUGAUUAGCUCCCUCUAAUUGCUACAUACCCUCUGCAGCAAUAAUGAUCAGUUUGGGCACCACUGAAAUUGUACUACUCCUUCAGUAUCUGCAUAGAAGGAGCCUUCUUGGUGUUGUUUUGAAAUUGCCACUUAGCAAUUGAGAGCUAGUUCUGUUUGGUGUGCCAGAAAAGACAAGAAGGCAGUGAUGCAUCGGAGGUCGAUAUGAUCAGCUUCAGGCGAAAAAGACAAUUAGCAGCAGGGAAUUUGGACAGAUCAGGAGGGGUGAUGUGAGGUAUGGCGAAGAACAGCGAUUUAGAGGUCACAAGGCAACAGAGAGCAAAGACGUGAUAAACAAGGGUUUUAACAGUGGUGAUGGAGCAAAAAGGACAUAUUUGAAUGAGGGACUUGGCCACUUGAGAGCUCUUUUAUCCACCGUUUCCCGAAAGGAGACCUUCCUUCCUUUAAUAUGCAUCAGAUCCUCAGAUCUAUCCAUGAUGCACUCAGAAUAAUUCAGAGAGGCGAGACAAAAGUGACUUUAACAUUCUCUAGAGGCAUCUGCCUCUGUUGUGCCUGUAUUUAAAGAAAAUCCUGAUGGAGCUCUAGACAAUUUAAACAUAUGUUUUUUCCUGUCAAAUUAUACAUGAUUAUAUCCAAAAAAUGUACACCACAUUUUUGUGUUUUUAGGGCAAACCAUUUUUUAAAACAUGCAUUUUAAAACACACUUGACUGGAAGGUACACAAGAUAUAUAGAGAUGUAGAUAUAGAUAUAUUUUGUCAGAUCAGAUAAAUAGGAUCUGACAUUUAGGCAACAAACUAAGUAGCCAGAUUUUCAAAAGAGCUGAGCACAGUGAGUCCUGAGAUCUUUCUGAAAAGCUGGCUACAGCUGACACAGGUGCCUAAGCUCUUCUGCAACAUGGCCCACCUUUCAGUGCCUAAAUGGGAACUGAGCUCUUUUGAAAACCUGGUCCCAGUUAGGGUGCUGAAUACUUGGAUAUCUGUUCUGUAGCUCUGGAAAAAUCAGCCCGUACUCCAGACCCUUUUUUGUUACCAUAGUAAGAGAGGAGAAGCAGCUUACCAUAGCUGUAUUUGACCUCAGACCAGACUAUCCAGCUGUCUCUAGUUGGCAAAAUGAUGCAUGAGAGGCGAGGACAUUUUUAUUUCUUAUGCUGAUAGAAAUGAAGAAACCCAUCUUUGCACUGAUUCCUACCCUCAUGCUUUCCCUGAAGAUGGUUUACGUUGUUACUGAUUAUUAAUAUUGCUGCCUGACCUGCUUUAAUAAUCCAUGCCAUUAAUCAGUGCUGCUCACCUUCAGCUAUGUGCUUGUAUCUCUGCCAGCCAUCCAUGCCCAUAAAUAUCACCACUAUGUAUCACCAUACAAACCCCGUAAAUCGAUGCUGCCAGUCCAUCAGUUCUGAGAGAGGUUUGCUCUGAAAUCCAGCAUUCGAUGUGGAUUCCAAAGGGCAAGUUCAGGUUAAAGCAGGAUAAACACACAAAUUUACUAACUGGAAUAGCUGUGAGUUUCACUGUUACAACAACUACAACAUUCUUUAAGGAAGAAAACCCAAGACUGGAUCCAAAGCCCACUGAAAUCAAUGAGAGUUUUUCCACUGAUUAAACGGUCUUUGGAUUAGGUUCCUAGAAAGCUAUCCAUUGUGGGUGCUGUGAUCUUGAAAAUUUGGUGCCAAUAGUUGCUGUUGGGUGCUGAGCACUUUUGAAACUCUGGCCUCGGUUUUGGGUGCUGGGUACUUAAAAAUCUGAUCCUAUAUACAGAGAAAGGGAGACAGAACUAAUCUAUGCUAUCCUAGUUUUGAACCAGUUCCUCUAUAUUGAAAACUGUGCAUCACUUUAAGUUAAAGAGAUUUCUGAUCCUUCUUGCAGGCUCUAGAGCUCUGGGUCUUCAGCAGGCAGUUUGCAAAGAGCCAGCCCAGAGCAAGGUGGAUUGAGAGUGCCUUUUUGCCUAAGAGAGCAGCCUGCUUUGCCUCUCUGUUUUUGGUUCUUGUGUGUUAGGGUUCUGGACAAUUAAGUAUGGUUACAUUGCAGCCUUCCAGAAAUAUAAUAUUAUGGUUUUAUACAACUUUUCUGUAUGUAUGCCAUGAACAUAACACCAGUAUUUCUAAUAAAUACUUGAAAGAUUGUGAGGUACUCAGAGAGUGUGGUAAUAGGGACCAUAUAAUUACUUAAGAUAGAUAGGUACAUUGCACAGGUUUCCUUUCUAAUGCCGUGGGUUUUGUUGUUGUUCUUCAUCUUCUUUUUAAUGGAAACGGGGAGUUAAGUGAUUCA
Dermochelys coriacea (leatherback sea turtle) is the source of this 2619-nucleotide long non-coding RNA. RefSeq lists it as uncharacterized. The transcript has 3 exons. Lineage: Eukaryota; Metazoa; Chordata; Testudines; Dermochelyidae. The record is from RefSeq and is a predicted model, not a curated record.